UGGCGGACGGGUGAGUAAUGUCUGGGAAACUGCCUGAUGGGGGGGGAUAACUACUGGAAACGGUAGCUAAUACCGCAUAACGUCGCAAGACCAAAGAGGGGGACCUUCGGGCCUCUUGCCAUCAGAUGUGCCCAGAUGGGAUUAGCUAGUAGGUGGGGUAACGGCUCACCUAGGCGACGAUCCCUAGCUGGUCUGAGAGGAUGACCAGCCACACUGGAACUGAGACACGGUCCAGACUCCUACGGGAGGCAGCAUG
This 256-nucleotide ribosomal RNA is filed under the name uncultured bacterium. RNAcentral's name for it is "partial 16S ribosomal RNA". It matches the Rfam family "Bacterial small subunit ribosomal RNA", at positions 96 to 353 of the family's 1533-position model. The record is from RNAcentral.